AUGGAUUUUUUGAUGGCAGAGCCAACUUAUAAACUUCUUAUCUUUUUAUGCAUGAUACGAGGAAUAUACGGAGUGCUUAUACAUUAUGAUGUGAACGUAAAUGCUGUGGAGGGACAGAACGUCAGCCUGCAGUGCAUUGUGGGAGAGGAGCAUGAAGUCACAAUUAUCCAGCUGGAAUGGAUUAAACAGCAAAAAGAAAAUGAGAAGAUCGAUCAGAAGAUUGUUGUGUUCCAUCCUGGGUACCCAACAUAUUAUAUUAAAUCCGGUUCUCUUCUGGAGACAGUGACCAGUUCAAAAACUGGGAAGCUGCAGGGCUCAAUCCUGACCCUGUAUAAAGUUGCAGUGAAUGAUGGUGGAAACUAUAUUUGCGAAAUUACAUCUUAUCCUAAUGGCUCAAUUAAAAGAACCACAAAGCUCCAAGUCACAGAGCCUCCAGCAUCAGUGAAGAUGUCAUAUCCAUAUGGAUUCAUAAAAGAAGGAGACGACGUGAAAAUAACUUGUUCAGCUAGCCCUCCACCACUCCGUUAUAAACUUGCAAGGUCAAAGGACCAGAUAUUUUGGCUGGGAAGCUCAAACGGAGAGAUCAUUAUAUCAAACAUCACCAGAAACGACAGCGAUGUGUACAUCUGUUUACCUGAAUGGGACUCAUUAGUACAAAAUCAGCAAGGUCUCAAUGUCACCAUGGAACUGACUGUGAAUUUUCUUGAUGGCAUUGAGUGUAACACAAGCAGCCCUUUAAACGUCAGUGUUGGUGAGGAUGUGAUGAUUUCUUGUAUCGCAAAAGCAUCACAGUACUUGCAGUAUAAGUGGAUGAGGGGUGACACAACACUGUCUCUGUCAGACACUUUGUCUCUGACCUCCGUAACAUCUGACCAGUCGGGAACAUACAAUCUGACAGCUGUCUUUCUGAACAAUCAACUCCAGACAGACAUGCAGUUUUCUAUCCAUGUUCUCUCAAAGCAAAGCCAAGGAAUGACAACUUCUUGCCCAGUAAGUACCACCCAACAUCUGAGCAGCUUUACCUCCAAUGGGACCAGCGAAUGGAGCACUGAUACCACUGUGUCUACAACAGAAUCUGGUCACUUCCUAGCUAGCACAAUAAAACCAAAUGCCACUAAGACAAGCCUACAACCCAGACACACCAGUCAUCCUCCUCCUCUCACUGGCAGCUCUUCUGCUCCACCUGUUGGCAAUGCAUCUACAUUACAUGCAAGCACUGUAAAAUCUCCAGAUUCCUCUACAGACAGUUUGAGCACAACUCCAGAUCCAGCUACCAGAAGAGAAAGAGUCUCCAAUGUUAUAACAAAGAAAACCUUUCCCCCUGUUACAGCACAAAAAGCCUCAAAAAGCUCAAUAUAUAUCGCCGUCCCGAUUGUGUUGUUGAUACUCGUGUUGAUUGUGCUUCUACACAGAAUAUACCAGAACCAAAAAAAAAUGGAUAUGCCACCUCCAUUCAAACCUCCCCCACCACCAGUGAAAUACACAUCAGUGAGGAACCAUGAUGUCUAUAUGACUGAUAUUCUAGUGUGAAUGUAUCAUGUACCUGAGAACCCACAAAUCGUGGGCCACAAAAAUGCUGACAUUGAAGAUUUUUCCCUAAAGGCCUCACCCCCCCAAAAAAUGUUUCAUCAAUUACUCAUCCUCAUGAAGUUUCGUUCAACUUCAAAAUGCAAAUGAAGAUAUUUUUAAGAAAACCUAAGAGAUUUCUGACUUUCCAUUGAAAGUCCACGCAACCAGUACUUUGGUGCUUCGAAAAGUUCAUAAAGACAUUGUAAAUGUAACCCACAUUUAAUUCAAGUCUUCUGACGAGGCAGUCACUUUAUAUGAUGAACAGAUUUAAUUUAAGCUUUUAUUCACAUAUAAACAUUAAUCAGUACAUAGAGUACAUCAAAUAUAUUAUAUGUUUUUGGAAGUCUUAUGGACUUAUAAUUAUGAGGUGAAUUAACUCUGUAACAUUUUAUUUUGUUAUAUUUUUGGUUAUUGUGACAUCACCCUCAUUUUCAUGUUUUUAUGUGUUUUUAAAGUUUUUUUUUACUUAUUUUCUUUGUGUCUCUGAACUGAUUGUUGAAUGGAUACAAUACGUUACUCUUAUAAAUAAUUAGUUUGUUGUUUUUUAACUGAAAACUGACUGAAUGUGACUGAAUUUUGCUUAACUGUGCUUUACUGACAUUAAAUAUAUUAUUGAAUAUCUUGAAUAUCUUGAGUUUUACUUAGCGCACAUCCUACAUCAGAACUAUGUAAAAAAAAAAAAAAAAAAUUGUGUGAGGGUGGGGUGUGUGAGGAUGCGGUCAAAAACCGGGUAAAUUCCAUAAAUAUUAAAUAUGACUAGGCCUUAGAGUUUAAUAAUACACACACACACACAUAUGUGUGUGUGCCAACACUGACCUCCUGUUGUGGCUGUGUGUUCUGUUAACAAAGCGAAGGCUAUCAGCUGAUUGUUUCAGGCCUCAUAAAACCUCAGUUUCCACCUCAGAUAGUAGAGACAAACCAACUGCCAAAACCACAUCAGACAGUGACCAACAGAGACAGCAUGUAUCCUUAACCUAACAGGUCUAAUCUACACAUACAAAUUCCAGCUCUGGUCACUAUUUAUUAUAACUUGCAGUAACAGCACAGCUGGUGGUUGUUUAUAUGGUGCUAAGAACAAAGCAGAAUUUAGUUCUGUUCAUGCUGCUUAUACAACAUCCGGCAUUUUAAAAUGCAGUUUACACCUUAAAACAAGCCUCCAUUCAAUGUGGGAGAAGAUGGAAAUGAAAGGCAUUUCUGAUUUAUGAACAGAGACAUAUGAAUAUUAGAGAGUGUAUGUGUGUUAAGACAGAGAAAACUAGAGAGAGAGAGAGAGAGAGAGAGAGAGAGAGAGUGAGUGAGAGUUGUACAGAGUUUUAUGCAUUGUGGUUCUUUGCUACAACAGCGACACGUUUAUGCAGAGGGACGUUUCCUGCUCUCGCUCUUGUGGUCGGAAAUGGAAAAUUCAGAAAAAAAGGAUUGAUUGUUUCAGUGUCUAGAUCAUCUGUAUCCUGCACUGUAUACAAUCAGGUCUCCAAUGUAUUAUUGUACUUCAUGAUGUAUAUAGGUGAUUUACCAAUAAUGCAUGAGAAAAAUACUCAAUUGUGUAAAGAAUGUGCAAAAUUCUAUUUCCAUUUAUCUUUGCCUCACAGAAUAAAGUACAGUGUGUGAGAGUUCUGUUAUACA
This is a long non-coding RNA of Cyprinus carpio (common carp), 3192 nucleotides long. Lineage: Eukaryota; Metazoa; Chordata; Actinopteri; Cypriniformes; Cyprinidae. The record is from Ensembl.